AUCUACAGCCAUGCUACCCUGAAGAAGCAUGAUCCCAUCUGAUCUCAGAAGCUAAGCAGAGUCAGGCCUAGUUAGUACUUGGUUGGGAGACCACCUAGGAUGAAACAGGUGCUAUAGGCA
This 120-nucleotide ribosomal RNA is filed under the name Pteropus vampyrus (large flying fox). Lineage: Eukaryota; Metazoa; Chordata; Mammalia; Chiroptera; Pteropodidae. The record is from RNAcentral.